RNAcentral lists this ribosomal RNA (296 nucleotides) under uncultured Desulfobulbus sp. RNAcentral describes it as "partial 16S ribosomal RNA". It matches the Rfam family "Bacterial small subunit ribosomal RNA", at positions 1086 to 1382 of the family's 1533-position model. Lineage: Bacteria; Pseudomonadati; Thermodesulfobacteriota; Desulfobulbia; Desulfobulbales; Desulfobulbaceae. The record is from RNAcentral.
UCCGCAACGAGCGCAACCCUUGCCUUUAGUUGCCAGCAGUUCGGCUGGGCACUCUAAAGGGACUGCCGGUGUUAAACCGGAGGAAGGUGGGGAUGACGUCAAGUCCUCAUGGCCUUUAUGACCAGGGCUACACACGUACUACAAUGGCCGAUACAAAGGGCAGCGACACUGCGAGGUGAAGCCAAUCCCGUAAAAUCGGUCUCAGUCCGGAUUGGAGUCUGCAACUCGACUCCAUGAAGUUGGAAUCGCUAGUAAUCGUGGAUCAGCAUGCCACGGUGAAUACGUUCCCGGGCCUU